CAAACGGCCGGUUCUUGACAUGUCUUCACUCUUUG
RNAcentral lists this small RNA (35 nucleotides) under Arabidopsis thaliana (thale cress). Its description in RNAcentral is "ATSL086120". Lineage: Eukaryota; Viridiplantae; Streptophyta; Magnoliopsida; Brassicales; Brassicaceae. The record is from RNAcentral.